UUAAAGCCCGAUAGGUAAAGUGGAGCUCUACCCUCUGGUUCAGCUUCAGCUUUAAAGCAAACUAUCUUUAGCUUCUGCAGAGGAGCUUCGCUAUCCCUCGAAAAUGGCUUCCGUUUCUUUUCUUCGGCUUUCCCCGAUUACCUCUCCCAAAACCCUAGCCAAACCCUAUCCUUUUUCUUCCUUUGCCCCUCCUUUACUUGUCUUUCUCAAAUCACCUCCUCUCACCCCUCCCUCACUAAAGCCCACCACCACACGUAUGUCUUACAAUCCCACUCCAGCCACUGAACGCUUAAUCUCAGCCGUUGCUUACACUCUUCCUUUCUUCAAUUCUCUCCAAUAUGGCCGCUUCCUUUUCGCUCAAUACCCAUCUCUGGGUCUUCUUUUUGACCCCCUUAUCCCUCUCUUAGACCUCUAUAGAUCAAUUCCAUAUGCUAGUUUUGUGGCUUUUUUCGCUCUUUAUUUGGGUGUUGUUAGAAACCCAAGCUUUAGCCAGUAUGUCAGGUUCAAUUCAAUGCAAGCUGUCACUUUAGAUGUGCUUUUGGUGGUGCCCUUGCUUUUGGCCCGAAUCUUCAAUCCAGGUCGGAGCGGAUUAGGGUUUAAGCUCAUGGUUUGGGGCCACAAUGCUGUGUUUUUGUUCAGUUGUUUCUGCUUUGUUUAUGGGUUAGUGAGUUGUGUUCUGGGUAAGACUCCUUAUUUGCCAUUUGUUGGUGAAGCUGCUGGUAGGCAAGUCUAGACUGAACCCUUGCUCUUUUCUGGUUUCUUUUCCUGGUAAAACAUGGUUGAAGCACGAGGUCAACGUUUGAAGCUCGAGGCAAGUGUAGGGUGCAAGUGUAUUAAGGCUGGGUGGGGGAGAGUUUCGUAGUGGGAGUGUUCUUCUGGGGCUUUUACUUGCAAGUAACUGAGUUAUUAUAGAACUUUAUCUGUUCCCAUAUGGAUUGUUUGCAAGUGUUUUGUCUUUUAAUCCUGUUGCUUUCAUUUAAAAAUAAUAAUUUUGGCUAUUCAUUGAGCAGGAUUUAUAGAUGAACAAUCUGAUGUGAUUUCAGAAGUAUUUAUUUCUUUUGGUUAUUUUGUCUCAUUAUUGUCUUGAUUAUAUUCCGCUUUGUUAAAGCCAGCAGUCUUGAACUAGGUUCAAUGGCUUGAUAUUUAAUGAGCUUAAUAAGAAUUCAGCACAUAUUCUUAUCUCUGUAGUCACAAUGUUGAUGCCAUACUUUUUUUGUAUUGUUACUGAAAUUUAUGGGUAUGUUGAGAAAUUGAGAGGCAUUUUCUUUUAAAGAUUGUUAAUUUCUUGUCCUUUUUUUUAAAACAUUUAUGAUUGUUUCUUGGGGGUUUGGGAAAUGUCAGAAUGCUUUGCCUUUAUGAUUUUUACCAAGCAUGCGUGCCAUUGCUUUUUUCCUUAAAACAUGCAUUGCAUUUGAGAUGAGUUUAAUUGUUUUUUAUUCCCUUAAUUGAUCAUUCCCAUUCUUUAUGAAAGGUUCAAGUGUGAAACACUGGUUCUCAUGACAGAAGCAUCUCAACUAGUGGGUGUCAACUCGCUUAACUUUGCAUUGUCCUAACUCCUAAAAGACUAGGUAGCAAAUUCCAGUUAUUUUCAGAUGGGAUGGAGGGAUACUUUUCUUUUGUGAUCCAGCCAACCCUUGAAACCAAGAGGGAAAAUCUUGGCCCAGAAAAUCUCUAGUUCUUCAUGGAAGGAGUACGUCUCAAGUUGAAUCUGGAGACGUAGAUGUAUCCCAAUAUUUUUAGCAUAAAAUGUGGGAAAUACUACAGAUUUGCUAUCACUGAGAGAUGGGGCGUGAGGGCUGUGUCUUACUAGGAGCCAUUGAUUAGGAAUGCUAGGGUGGCUGGGAUUGGAAAUCUGGAGUGUAAAGUGCGUGAAUAGAAAAAGGGGAGGUGAUUCUAUGAUGGUUGCUUUAUUAACUAAUCAGGAGCAGAUUCCUCAUUAGACCUGGGAUUUGGGGGCAUUGGAGACUUGAAACAUAUUGUAAUUUGACUGAAUAUAGAUUGAAAAAUUUUGCUAGCUCUUGUAGUUUGAAUGUCCAUGCUUUUGGCAAAAGAGCAUGUGACAAUCAGAGACCUCCCUAAACAUGAAUUCUUUUGUUUGCAGUUUACUUUCUUUGGAGAAAACCACAUGGUAGAUUCAUAUGGAUUCAUAUUUCCAUUACUAAAAUUUAUUUCAGUUUGUUCAAAUGGAAGGCUUAUGUUUAAAAGUUAUGGUGUCCAUACUAUUAUUUGGAAUUAAUUGAAGUGAAAUAAAUAUUGCAAAGCUUUAAUGGGUGGCUGUGUUAAUAAUUCGGUUGGACAUUCAUAGGUAU
This 2309-nucleotide unclassified non-coding RNA is filed under the name Hevea brasiliensis (rubber tree). The record is from RNAcentral. Lineage: Eukaryota; Viridiplantae; Streptophyta; Magnoliopsida; Malpighiales; Euphorbiaceae.